Small nucleolar RNA from Prosopis cineraria, 81 nucleotides. RefSeq annotates it as small nucleolar RNA R12. The record is from RefSeq and is a predicted model, not a curated record. The transcript has a single exon. NCBI's taxonomy places the organism in Eukaryota, Viridiplantae, Streptophyta, Magnoliopsida, Fabales, Fabaceae.
UGUUGAAUGAUGAAAAAAAUCAGACGGAUUCCCAUUGAUAUUGUUAAUACAUGAUAUCGCAACCAGCUACUUCUGACAGCA